Molecule: long non-coding RNA, 1677 nt
Filed under: Calidris pugnax (ruff)
Lineage: Eukaryota; Metazoa; Chordata; Aves; Charadriiformes; Scolopacidae
Description: lncRNA (ENSCPUG00000001520.1)
Source: RNAcentral
GGCAUCGCUCGGCGGGCGGGGGGGGGGUACGGAGGGAGGGACCGGGGACCGGUACCCGGUGCAGAAUGACCGGUGCUCCGUAUCCGGUAGAGGUUGCCCGGUGCCCCGGGUUCGGUGCAGGUUGCCCGGUAUUCGGUCCAGGUUGCCCCCGGUGCCCAGUACCGGUUGCCCCGGUGCCCUGUGCCGGUUGCCCCGGUGCCCGGUACUCGGUGCGGGUUGCCCCGCUGCCCAGUGCCGGUUGCCCCGGUGCCCUGAGCCGGUUGCCCUGCAUCCGGUGCAGGUUGCCCGGUCCCCAGUGCCCCAUGCCCUGUAUCCUGUGCAGGUUGCCCCGGUGCCCAGUGCCAGUUGCCCCGGUGGCCGGUGCCAGUUGCCCCAGUGCCCUGUGACAAUUGCCCCGGUCCCCCGUGGCCAGUGCAGGUUGCCCGCUGCCCAGUGCCGGUUGCCCCGGUGCCCUGUGCAGGUUGCCCCGUAUCCGGUCCCCUGUGCCCAGUCCCCUGUGCCCGCUGCCCAGUGCCGGUUGCCCCGGUGCCCUGUGCAGGUUGCCCCGUAUCCGGUCCCCUGUGCCCAGUCCCCUGUGCCCGCUGCCCAGUGCCGGUUGCCCCGGUGCCCUGUGCAGGUUGCCCCGUAUCCGGUCCCCUGUGCCCAGUCCCCUGUGCCCGCUGCCCAGUGCCGGUUGCCCCGGUGCCCUGUGCAGGUUGCCCCGUAUCCGGUCCCCUGUGCCCAGUCCCCUGUGCCCGCUGCCCAGUGCCGGUUGCCCCGGUGCCCUGUGCAGGUUGCCCCGUAUCCGGUCCCCUGUGCCCAGUCCCCUGUGCCCGCUGCCCAGUGCCGGUUGCCCCGGUGCCCUGUGCAGGUUGCCCCGUAUCCGGUCCCCUGUGCCCAGUCCCCUGUGCCCGCUGCCCAGUGCCGGUUGCCCCGGUGCCCUGUGCAGGUUGCCCCGUAUCCGGUCCCCUGUGCCCAGUCCCCUGUGCCCGCUGCCCAGUGCCGGUUGCCCCGGUAGCCGGUGCCGGUUGCCCCGGUGCCCAGUGCCGGUUGCCCCGGUGCCCAGUGCCGGUUGCCCCGGUGGCCGGUGCCGGUUGCCCCGGUGGCCGGUCCCCUGUGCCAGGUCCCCUGUGCCCGCUGCCCAGUGCCGGUUGCCCCGGUCCCCUGUGCCAGUUGCCCUGUGCCCAGUGCCGGUUGCCCCGGUGCCCUGUGCCCAGUGCCGGUUGCCCUGGUAGCCGGUGCAGGUUGCCCAGCUGCCCAGUGCGGGUUGCCCAGUGCCCUGUGCCGGUUGCCCCGGUGCCCAGUGCAUGUUGCCCCGCUGCCCUGUGCUCGGUGCCGGUUGCCCCGGUGCCUUGUACCCGUUGCCCGGUGCCUUGUACCGGUUGCCCUUGCCCCCUGUACCCCAUAUACCGGGUGCACGUUCCCCGUUUCCCCCCCCCUGUUGCUCCCCGUUGCCCGGUUCGGGCGGGCUCGCGAGCGACCGAAGCGGCCCCGCUUCCUGCUUUCUAAUGUUCCAUUGUGCGGAGCUUCCAUUGUGACGUCUGGGCCUCGGCUCGGCUUUGUCUGUCCAUAUAUGGGCAGCUACGUCACGGGAGCGCUCCCGCCGCCCGGAUAAAUGGGCUGCGGAGUCCCCGGCGGAGCAGUCGGGCGGCAGCGAAGGGAACCUGCGAGCGGAGCCGAGAGCGCGGGGAGGGAAAC